This 497-nucleotide ribosomal RNA is filed under the name uncultured bacterium. Its description in RNAcentral is "partial 16S ribosomal RNA". It matches the Rfam family "Bacterial small subunit ribosomal RNA", at positions 28 to 508 of the family's 1533-position model. The record is from RNAcentral.
GAUGAACGCUGGCGGCGUGCCUAAUACAUGCAAGUCGAGCGAACGGACGAGAAGCUUGCUUCUCUGAUGUUAGCGGCGGACGGGUGAGUAACACGUGGAUAACCUACCUAUAAGACUGGGAUAACUUCGGGAAACCGGAGCUAAUACCGGAUAAUAUUUUGAACCGCAUGGUUCAAAAGUGAAAGACGGUCUUGCUGUCACUUAUAGAUGGAUCCGCGCUGCAUUAGCUAGUUGGUAAGGUAACGGCUUACCAAGGCAACGAUGCAUAGCCGACCUGAGAGGGGGACGGGCCAAAGUGGAACAGAGCCGCGGACCAGACUCCGAGGGGGGGCAGAGGUAGGAAAUCUCCCGAAAGGGGGAAAGCCCGGACGGGGCAACGCCGGGGGAUUGAGGAGGGUCUUCGUAUCAAAAAAUUUUUUUAUUAGGAAAAAAAAUUUGUGAAAGUAAUGGUGCACAUCUGGAGGGACCCUAAUAAGAAACCCACGCAAAACUAGGGC